ACCUCCCUCUUUCUUCAUGCCUAACACAUGCAAGUCGAACGAGACCUUCGGGUCUAGUGGCGCACGGGUGCGUAACGCGUGGGAACCUGCCCUUAGGUUCGGAAUAACUCCCCGAAAGGGGUGCUAAUACCGGAUAAUGUCUUCGGACCAAAGAUUUAUCGCCUUUGGAUGGGCCCGCGUUGGAUUAGCUAGUUGGUAGGGUAAAAGCCUACCAAGGCGACGAUCCAUAGCUGGUCUGAGAGGAUGAUCAGCCACACUGGGACUGAGACACGGCCCAGACUCCUACGGGAGGCAGCAGUGGGGAAUAUUGGACAAUGGGCGAAAGCCUGAUCCAGCAAUGCCGCGUGAGUGAUGAAGGCCUUAGGGUUGUAAAGCUCUUUUACCCGGGAUGAUAAUGACAGUACCGGGAGAAUAAGCUCCGGCUAACUCCGUG
Molecule: ribosomal RNA, 433 nt
Filed under: uncultured bacterium
Lineage: Bacteria
Description: partial 16S ribosomal RNA
Rfam family: Bacterial small subunit ribosomal RNA
Source: RNAcentral